RNAcentral lists this ribosomal RNA (254 nucleotides) under uncultured bacterium. RNAcentral's name for it is "partial 16S ribosomal RNA". It matches the Rfam family "Bacterial small subunit ribosomal RNA", at positions 524 to 776 of the family's 1533-position model. The record is from RNAcentral.
UACGUAGGUGGCGAGCGUUGUCCGGAAUUACUGGGUGUAAAGCGCGUGUAGGCGGGAGGCCAAGUCUGUGGUGAAAUCGCUCGGCUUAACUGGGCGGGGUCCAUGGAAACUGGUCACCUGGAGGUCGGUAGAGGCAAGUGGAAUUCCCGGUGUAGUGGUGAAAUGCGUAGAGAUCGGGAGGAACACCAGUGGCGAAGGCGGCUUGCUGGGCCGGACCUGACGCUGAGACGCGAAAGGCGUGGGGAGCGAACGGG